AACGAACGCUGGCGGCAGGCCUAACACAUGCGAGUCGAACGGAUGUAGCAAUACAUUAGUGGCGCACGGGUGCGUAACACGUGGGAAUGUACCCCAGGGUAAGGAAUAAUGUCUGGAAACGGACACUAAUACCUUAUAAUGACUUUGGUCCAAAGAUUUAUCGCCCUGGGAUCAGCCCGCGCCUGAUUAGCUAGUUGGUGAGGUAAUGGCUCACCAAGGCUACGAUCAGUAGCUGGUCUGAGAGGAUGAUCGGCCACACUGGAACUGAGACACGGUCCAGACUCCUACGGGAGGCAGCAGUGAGGAAUAUUGCACAAUGGAGGAAACUCUGAUGCAGCCAUGCCGCGUGAGUGAAGAAGGCCUUCGGGUUGUAAAGCUCUUUUAGUCGUGAAGAUAAUGACGGUAGCGACAGAAAAAGCCCCGGCUAAAUUCGUGCCAGCAGCCGCAGUAA
RNAcentral lists this ribosomal RNA (451 nucleotides) under uncultured bacterium. RNAcentral describes it as "partial 16S ribosomal RNA". It matches the Rfam family "Bacterial small subunit ribosomal RNA", at positions 29 to 523 of the family's 1533-position model. The record is from RNAcentral.